This 74-nucleotide transfer RNA is filed under the name Pseudomonadales bacterium. RNAcentral describes it as "tRNA-Gly". It matches the Rfam family "tRNA". From Rfam's summary of the family: Transfer RNA (tRNA) molecules are approximately 80 nucleotides in length. Lineage: Bacteria; Pseudomonadati; Pseudomonadota; Gammaproteobacteria; Pseudomonadales. The record is from RNAcentral.
GCGGGUAUGGUACAACGGUAGAACCUCAGCCUUCCAAGCUGAUGAUGCGGGUUCGAUUCCCGCUACCCGCUCCA